CAGUACUGUUCUUAACCCUAGCAUGUGAGCUAGCCGCCGCCCGUCCAUCGUCCUCACGCGUCACGAGGAGUCGAUGCAGCGAGCCGCGUGCGUGCGGGAAUCGAGCUCGAGGUGAAGAUGGAUCGUCGGAUGGUUGAAUGACAGGUUGGGCAGGUCAAGCGUCUUAUGCAGCCCUACAGCCUACAUGUGAGGACGCGAGGCCAGGUUACGUUUUCAAGAAAUCCAAAU
RNAcentral lists this long non-coding RNA (228 nucleotides) under Zea mays. Its description in RNAcentral is "long non-coding RNA NONZMAT002193". The record is from RNAcentral. Lineage: Eukaryota; Viridiplantae; Streptophyta; Magnoliopsida; Poales; Poaceae.